This 411-nucleotide ribosomal RNA is filed under the name Trimeresurus erythrurus. RNAcentral's name for it is "partial large subunit ribosomal RNA". It matches the Rfam family "Bacterial large subunit ribosomal RNA", at positions 1991 to 2620 of the family's 2925-position model. The record is from RNAcentral. Lineage: Eukaryota; Metazoa; Chordata; Lepidosauria; Squamata; Viperidae.
UAUGAAAGGCAAAAUGAGAGCCCAACUGUCUCUUAUAACAAAUCAAUAAAACUGAUCUCCUAGUACAAAAGCUAGGAUACUAACAUAAGACCAGAAGACCCUGUGAAGCUUUAACAAACCCAUUAAAUCAAAUAAUGAUUACUUUCGGUUGGGGCGACCUUGGAAUAAAAAAGAACUUCCAACAUAUGACCUACUCAUAAAACAGGCAAACAAGCCAAUACUAGACCCAGCACAGCUGAUAAUUGAAAUAAGUUACUCCAGGGAUAACAGCGCUAUCUUCUUUAAGAGCCCAUAUCAAAAAGAAGGUUUACGACCUCGAUGUUGGAUCAGGACAUCCCAGUAAUGCAUCCGUUACUAAAGGUUCGUUUGUUCAACGAUUAACAGUCCUACGUGAUCUGAGUUCAGACCGGA